CCUACGGGUGGCUGCAGUGAGGAAUAUUGGUCAAUGGGCGCGAGCCUGAACCAGCCAAGUAGCGUGAAGGAUGAAUGCCCUGCGGGUUGUAAACUUCUUUUAUAAAGGAAUAAAGUGAGGCACGUGUGCCUUUUUGAAUGUACUUUAUGAAUAAGGAACGGCUAACUCCGUGCCAGCAGCCGCGGUAAGCCGGAGGAUCCGAGCGUUAUCCGGAUUUAGUGGGUUUAAAGGGAGCGUAGAUGGGUUGUUAAGUCAGUUGGGAAAGUUUGCGGCUCAACCGGAAAAUUGCCAUUGAUACUGGCAGCCUUGAGUACAGUUGAGGUACGCGGAAUUCGUGGUGUAGCGG
This 346-nucleotide ribosomal RNA is filed under the name uncultured bacterium. Its description in RNAcentral is "partial 16S ribosomal RNA". It matches the Rfam family "Bacterial small subunit ribosomal RNA", at positions 338 to 681 of the family's 1533-position model. The record is from RNAcentral.